AUUGAACGCUGGCGGCAUGCCUUACACAUGCAAGUCGAACGGCAGCACGGGUGCUUGCACCUGGUGGCGAGUGGCGAACGGGUGAGUAAUACAUCGGAACAUGUCCUGUAGUGGGGGAUAGCCCGGCGAAAGCCGGAUUAAUACCGCAUACGAUCUACGGAUGAAAGCGGGGGACCUUCGGGCCUCGCGCUAUAGGGUUGGCCGAUGGCUGAUUAGCUAGUUGGUGGGGUAAAGGCCUACCAAGGCGACGAUCAGUAGCUGGUCUGAGAGGACGACCAGCCACACUGGGACUGAGACACGGCCCAGACUCCUACGGGAGGCAGCAGUGGGGAAUUUUGGACAAUGGGCGAAAGCCUGAUCCAGCAAUGCCGCGUGUGUGAAGAAGGCCUUCGGGUUGUAAAGCACUUUUGUCCGGAAAGAAAUCCUUGGCCCUAAUACGGACGGGGGAUGACGGUACCGGAAGAAUAAGCACCGGCUAACUACGUG
This 486-nucleotide ribosomal RNA is filed under the name uncultured bacterium. RNAcentral describes it as "partial 16S ribosomal RNA". It matches the Rfam family "Bacterial small subunit ribosomal RNA", at positions 30 to 507 of the family's 1533-position model. The record is from RNAcentral.